ACUCCUACGGGAGGCAGCAGUGGGGAAUAUUGCACAAUGGGCGCAAGCCUGAUGCAGCCAUGCCGCGUGUAUGAAGAAGGCCUUCGGGUUGUAAAGUACUUUCAGCAGUGAGGAAGGCGGAGUCGUUAAUAGCGGCCUCGUUUGACGUUAGCUGCAGAAGAAGCACCGGCUAACUCCGUGCCAGCAGCCGCGGUAAUACGGAGGGUGCGAGCGUUAAUCGGAAUUACUGGGCGUAAAGCGCAUGCAGGUGGUUUGUUAAGUCAGAUGUGAAAGCCCGGGGCUCAACCUCGGAAUUGCAUUUGAAACUGGCAGACUAGAGUACUGUAGAGGGGGGUAGAAUUUCAGGUGUAGCGGUGAAAUGCGUAGAGAUCUGAAGGAAUACCGGUGGCGAAGGCGGCCCCCUGGACAGAUACUGACACUCAGAUAGCGAAAGCGUGGGGAAGCAAACAGGAUUAGAUA
RNAcentral lists this ribosomal RNA (459 nucleotides) under uncultured bacterium. RNAcentral's name for it is "bacterial SSU rRNA". It matches the Rfam family "Bacterial small subunit ribosomal RNA", at positions 335 to 784 of the family's 1533-position model. The record is from RNAcentral.